UUCAGAGCACUUAUACCAAGCAAAGAUAUUUCUUUUAAUUAAGCAUGGAAAAUGUACCUCCCCUUCUUGUAUGAAUGAUUUUUUAAUCUAUGAUAAGCUUUAGAAUAAUGUAAAAUGUUCUAAUAAUCAUCUAGGAUGAAAAAAACAGGGGGGUUCAAUUUACCAUGGGGGUUCAAUUUUCCAUACAGGGGGGUUCAAUUUACCAUGGGGGGGUUCAAUUUACCAUAGCGGUAUUUUGACCCCGGGGUCAAUUUACCAUGGGGUUCAAAAUACCAUAUGACACCGGGCUUAAAAAUGAAA
RNAcentral lists this long non-coding RNA (300 nucleotides) under Mytilus galloprovincialis (Mediterranean mussel). Lineage: Eukaryota; Metazoa; Mollusca; Bivalvia; Mytilida; Mytilidae. The record is from RNAcentral.